This 235-nucleotide unclassified non-coding RNA is filed under the name plant metagenome. Its description in RNAcentral is "partial contains small subunit ribosomal RNA, internal transcribed spacer 1, and 5.8S ribosomal RNA". The stretch from base 1 to 54 matches the Rfam family "Eukaryotic small subunit ribosomal RNA", at positions 1778 to 1831 of the family's 1831-position model. The record is from RNAcentral.
AGAAGUAAAAGUCGUAACAAGGUUUCCGUAGGUGAACCUGCGGAAGGAUCAUUCAUAAUAAGUGUUUUAUGGCACUUUUUUAAAUCCAUAUCCACCUUGUGUGCAAUGUCAGGGUUGAUUUUUCUCUCGAGAGGAUCAACCCCAAACAUCAACUAUAUCUCAACUCUUUGUCUGAAAAAUAUUAUGAAUAAAACAAUUCAAAAUACAACUUUCAACAACGGAUCUCUUGGCUCUC